Molecule: ribosomal RNA, 254 nt
Filed under: uncultured bacterium
Lineage: Bacteria
Description: partial 16S ribosomal RNA
Rfam family: Bacterial small subunit ribosomal RNA
Source: RNAcentral
UACGAAGGGGGCUAGCGUUGCUCGGAAUCACUGGGCGUAAAGGGUGCGUAGGCGGGUCUUUUAAGUCAGGGGUGAAAUCCUGGAGCUCAACUCCAGAACUGCCUUUGAUACUGAGGAUCUUGAGUUCGGGAGAGGUGAGUGGAACUGCGAGUGUAGAGGUGAAAUUCGUAGAUAUUCGCAAGAACACCAGUGGCGAAGGCGGCUCACUGGCCCGGAACUGACGCUGAGGUGCGAAAGCGUGGGGAGCAAACAGG